RNAcentral lists this transfer RNA (72 nucleotides) under Marmota monax (woodchuck). Its description in RNAcentral is "tRNA.Ala". It matches the Rfam family "tRNA". Rfam says of the family: Transfer RNA (tRNA) molecules are approximately 80 nucleotides in length. Their secondary structure includes four short double-helical elements and three loops (D, anti-codon, and T loops). The record is from RNAcentral. Lineage: Eukaryota; Metazoa; Chordata; Mammalia; Rodentia; Sciuridae.
AGGUUGUGGCUCAGUGGUAGAGCACUCGCCUAGCACGUGUGAGGACCUGAGUUCGAUCCUCAAUACCACCUA